Oncorhynchus tshawytscha (Chinook salmon) is the source of this 921-nucleotide long non-coding RNA. The record is from Ensembl. NCBI's taxonomy places the organism in Eukaryota, Metazoa, Chordata, Actinopteri, Salmoniformes, Salmonidae.
CCUCUCCAUAUGGGUGAUCUGAUUUCCCACGACUCUGUUGGGCCUGUGUGUCCUUUUUCUAAUUUCUUGUGACAAUGUACCAACCUGGGUGAUCCUCGGUUCGGUCGACCAGUAUUGCGGCGCUGAGCGUUUGCUCUUGUGGUCUGUGUGACGUGUCUUUCCACCGGAACUAUUCCGGUUUUAACUUUCGGGCUCGGAAACCUCGCCGACUCUGCAAGGUCCGUACACCAGGAGACUGAAUGUUUCGCUCUCGCGGACUUGCAGUUCUCCCCUGAGAGCAAAGAUGGCGCACCACGCCUCAUCUCUCACAAGGCGCAGCCAUCUUGCCUGGACUCUUCUGUGUUCCAAGGAGGAAGGAGUCCGCGCUCGUGACGCACGGACGUAAAGAGCAUAAAAGGCGCAGGAACCUUCCAGUCCUUCCAUUUUCUUCUCCCAUCCAACCGAGGAUGCCGACGACUCGAAUGUGCUGCUCUGAAAUGCAGGACAGAUGCCGUGAAGUCCAGCAGAGUGACACGUCUGCAUUACUUGUGACAUGACUUCAAGGCAUCUGAACAGAAUCUCCACUUCCAUUCUGGAAUAGGAAUGUGUGCUGAAUACCUGAUUCCAGACAAGGAGACUGAUGCACUUUGUGAAAAUCCAGGUUGGUGAAAUGUUAAAACACUGACAUUUGAAAUAGUACCCCACUUCCCUUUAUAGUGCCCUACCUUAGACCAGGACCCAUGUACUAUAAAGGCAACAUGGUGACUUUGGAUGAAGGCAAUUUCACCUUUUGGCUGGCCAACUGUACAAGAUGGCUACCGGGAUGUGCUACAGUCCCAAUGAUGAUGAACUUAGCUCACUUUGAACCGAUGUGAAACGACAUGAACUACUGAGUGACUGUAGCUAAUGCACCAGUUGUAUGUUUAAAUGUUUUUUACAGCA